Molecule: ribosomal RNA, 459 nt
Filed under: uncultured bacterium
Lineage: Bacteria
Description: partial 16S ribosomal RNA
Rfam family: Bacterial small subunit ribosomal RNA
Source: RNAcentral
CCUACGGGAGGCAGCAGUGAGGAAUAUUGGUCAAUGGCCGGAAGGCUGAACCAGCCAAGCCGCGUGAAGGACGAAGGUGCCAAGCAUUGUAAACUUCUUUUGUCAAGGGACAAAAUCAGGCUCGAGAGCCUGACCGAGGGUAUUUGAAGAUAAAGCAUCGGCUAACUCCGUGCCAGCAGCCGCGGUAAUACGGAGGAUGCGAGCGUUAUCCGGUUUUAUUGGGUUUAACGGGUGCGUAGGCGGACUGUUAAGUCAGAGGUAAAAGCCCGGGGCUCAACCCCGGCGAGCCGUUGAAACUGGCUGUCUUGAGAUGUCGAGAGGUAUGCGGAAUGCGCAGUGUAGCGGUGAAAUGCUUAGAUAUUGCGAAGAACUCCGAUGGCGAAGGCGGCAUACCGGCGGCGAUCUGACGCUGAGGCACGAAAGCGUGGGGAGCGAACAGGAUUAGAUACCCUGGUAGUC